RNAcentral lists this long non-coding RNA (622 nucleotides) under Capsella rubella. RNAcentral describes it as "long non-coding RNA (CRUB_LNC003719)". The record is from RNAcentral. Lineage: Eukaryota; Viridiplantae; Streptophyta; Magnoliopsida; Brassicales; Brassicaceae.
GUCUUGUAAAUUUUAUGACCACCCAACUAAGCUACGGAUUUGUCAACGGCGCGGGUGGUGAUGGUCCGACUAAUAUCUAUGCCAAGAUCCAGUGCCGGCCCGAUGCCUCUGAAUCCAUAUGCCGCUCUUGCAUCAAUACCGCAUUAUCUGAUGUAACAUCGAUCAUUUCAGUAUUGUCAAUUUAGCUAUUAUACAUGAUUACAUAUAUAAAACUUUGUGACUAUAUAUUAUGACAGCUCCGUAGGAAAUGUCCGAACAACAAAGGGAGAAUAAUAUGGUACGACAACUGUCUUCUCGACAUUUCUUCGAUCUUUAGCUUAGGUGAAAUCGAUUAUAGGUACAUAUUUUACAUGUACAACGCGAAGGAUGUGAGCAGCAAUAAAAUAGCGUUCAACAAGAACACGAAGGAGCUCCUCUGUGAGCUGAAGGAGAAAGCAAUUAAUAAAAAAGAACUGCCAUACAGGAGAGACUACCUGUAUGCGGCGGGUGCUGAAAAUCUCGGAACAACGAAAUUGUAUGCAAUGGUACAAUGUACAAAGGACUUAUCGGCAUUUAAUUGUAGUGUGUGUUUGGAUGGGAUUAUGGAAAAGCUUCCCAAAUGCUGCAAUGGUAAACAAGGAGG